RNAcentral lists this ribosomal RNA (497 nucleotides) under uncultured bacterium. Its description in RNAcentral is "partial 16S ribosomal RNA". It matches the Rfam family "Bacterial small subunit ribosomal RNA", at positions 28 to 507 of the family's 1533-position model. The record is from RNAcentral.
GAUGAACGCUGGCGGCGUGCCUAAUACAUGCAAGUCGAGCGAACAGACGAGGAGCUUGCUCCUCUGACGUUAGCGGCGGACGGGUGAGUAACACGUGGAUAACCUACCUAUAAGACUGGGAUAACUUCGGGAAACCGGAGCUAAUACCGGAUAAUAUAUUGAACCGCAUGGUUCAAUAGUGAAAGACGGUUUUGCUGUCACUUAUAGAUGGAUCCGCGCCGCAUUAGCUAGUUGGUAAGGUAACGGCUUACCAAGGCGACGAUGCGUAGCCGACCUGAGAGGGUGAUCGGCCACACUGGAACUGAGACACGGUCCAGACUCCUACGGGAGGCAGCAGUAGGGAAUCUGCCGCAAUGGGCGAAAGCCUGACGGAGCAACGCCGCGUGAGUGAUGAAGGUCUUCGGAUCGUAAAACUCUGUUAUUAGGGAAGAACAAAUGUGUAAGUAACUAUGCACGUCUUGGCGGUACCUAAUCAGAAAGCCACGGCUAACUACGUG